Long non-coding RNA from Carya illinoinensis, 1270 nucleotides. RefSeq lists it as uncharacterized. The transcript has 2 exons. Lineage: Eukaryota; Viridiplantae; Streptophyta; Magnoliopsida; Fagales; Juglandaceae. The record is from RefSeq and is a predicted model, not a curated record.
AUAUCACCUUCUCAAUUUAUUUUUGGGGCUCCUAAUCCAGCGUUUACUCAGUGAUAUCACUAGGAUCAAGUUCUUCUUAGUCUCUUGGUUUCCUCUCUUUCUGAAGGGGUUUGACCUAAGUUGUUGCCCUCAAUUCUUCGCGUGUUGUCUCAAUUCUUCGCAUGUUCUCUUCGGCAUCUCAUGCACGUAUAACUCGCAUCCGAUUUCAACUCUCUACAUUAAAGAAAGGUGGACCAUCUCUCCUUAGAUGAUCUCUUUGGCCACCUCCUCAAUUUUGAAGCUUGCCUUUAUCAACAGAAUUCAUCAAUUGAACUCAACAUCGCAUCGGAAAACCUUGCUAACAAAUCUAAUGUUACACGAUGACGUGGUCACACCAACCGUGGUCACCCUAAUAACUCCUCUUGUGGCUGUGGUGGUGCCUUGUCUAAUACAUUUUCCUCUUCCUCCUAUCCAAUGUGUCAAGGCUGUGGGAAAUCUGGUCACACAACUCUCAAUUGUUGGCAUCGCUUUGAUCACUCCUAUCAAACAUAUCAACAACUCCCCACAACAUAUGUUGUUGCCCCUAACCCCAGAUUCGAUGCACAAUGGUAUACUGAUAUAGGUGCUACACAUCAUUUAACUAAUAAGUUUCAAAACAUGAAUCUCCAUGCUCAGCCAUAUCAGGGUCAAGAUCAUAUUAAAAUUAGGGAUGGUUCAGGUUUGCCUAUAGCCCACGUUGGGGCCUCUUGUUUUUCCUUCCCCAUACUACUUUUUCUUUUGAAACAAUGUUACAUGUACCCCAUGCAAGUAAAAAAUUGGUAGUUGUUAGCAAAUCCACCACCGAUAACUAUGUUUUUCUUUAAAUUUCAUGACCGAUACUUUUACAUAAAGGAUGAGAAAACAGGUCAAAUACUACUGCACAACAAGACUAAGGACGGGCUCUAUCCACUAUUCCCAGCCUUCACAACCACAUUCUCAUCACAAGCAUUCCUCCCCUCCUGAGUGUCUCUUCAAAUAUGGCAUUUCAGACUUGGUCAUUCCUCUAUGCAAAUUGUUAAAGCUAUUAUGUCUAGGUUUCUCUUCCAAUGUCUUCACAUAGAUUAGAGUUUGUAUAUGGCGCUUGCCAACAGGGCAAAAGCCACUAGUUAUCUUUUGAGUUGUCUUCUCUCCUUCUCAAGGUCCUUUAGAUUUAAUAUUUUUGGAUGUUUGGGGCCUUGCCCCUUGUCUUUCUACUAUUGGCAAUAAAUACUACGUCAUUUUUAUUGAUCAUUAUAUUAAAUUUUCUUGGUUA